UCAUAGUGAACCACAAGGUCCGGCUUUCAUAGCGAAUGUCCGAUACCGCGAGACAAGGUAGAUGGGGUGUGCCCACCAACUUGGACUAACAUUUCGUCCAGAAGAUUAUCAGAGGGAUUUUCAGUCGGAACUGAUGGGAAAUUCAAACGAUGCCAGCUGAGAAGUGAUGCCAUUAGGUUACCAUUGUUUUUUUUCUUCAAAACAAAAUGGAAGACUUCCAAUCAACCAACAUCAGCUCACAAGAGGAGCUUGAUUAGAGGUGGUACAGAAUCUGAUUCCACCAGCAUGUGCUUUCAUCUCCAGCUCUGUUGAUGGUGUCGCCCAUCUUCCCCAUUAUCCCAUGGGUACGUAUACCUGUGUUCUGUGUUUGUCUGUGGCCAGUUCGUCUUGUUUGUCAAGUCAACCAGUUUGGUUCUCUGUUUGUCAAGUUUCGCAGCUCCUGCUUUUCUCGUGUCUCUCUUUUCUCGUCCUCCUGGUUUUGACCAUUGCCUGUCCUGACUCUGAGCCCGCCUGCCUGACCGCUCUGCCUGCCCCUGACCCUGAGCCUGCCUGCCGUCCGGUGCCUUUGCCCCUACUCUGGCUUACCGAUCCCUGCCUGCCUUGACCUGUCGUUUGCCUAUCCCUGUUGUUGUAAUAAACAUUGUUACUUCAACACAGUCUGCACUUGGGUCUUACCGAAAACCUGAUAGUUGCAGUAUCAUGUCCACGUUUAUAUGUGUGUUUAAACACAGUAGAAAACAAAUUGACAAUAUAAAAUUAAUAUCAGUUACAUACCAACAAAAAGAGAGUAGACUGUCGGCCUUACUGGAUCGAUAGCAACAUUAGCUCGAGCUGUUUAGGAGGGAUAUCACACCUGGCACAAAUGAUUGUCUAGUUCUGUUUUUCCUGCUGGGGGGUGCCCUAUACCUGCUCCCAGAGGGGAGUAGUUAAAAGUCAGCAUACAGGGUCUGGCUUGGAUCUAAAAGGAUUUUGUGAGCCUUGCUGAGGGCCCUGACCUUAAAGAUCUCAUCCAAGCCAGUUCUGCUCCAAUGACACACACAGGCAAAUAAAUUGUGUUCUCUCCAUCUAGAAUCCACUCCAGGAAGAAGCACCGGCACCACACAACACAGUAAUGUCUGUAAGAAAAAUAAUAAUAUAAAAUAUAUAAAUGAUCAUCUAUUCUACAUUUAGAACCAUAUCGAGGCUGAAAUGUGUCGUAGCCCUCAACAUUUGAACAGUGGUCAGGCAGUACACAUGUACCUAGAUAGGCAGCACGACAGUAGCUACAGCCAUGUUUAGGCAAACAUUUUCUAGUAAAACCAGAUCAUCAGUUUCAGAGAUGUACAACAGUAAGUGGUUGUAUUACUGUUUCCUCUCACUGUUAAUAAACUUAGCUAGCUAGCUUGCUGGAUAGCCAAUAAUAUUGAUUGACAUCUGUUCAUGACCUUAACUUUAUAUUGCAUCAUGCCUCUCAAUUUGUGAGAUUGAAAUGCGUCCACUGUCAUAAUCAUUGAAUGUCACCAUGCAGCUAGCGAAGGGAACAUCAAAAUACAUUGUGUUGAUGAGACGAAUCACUUGACUGUGGUCUGGUCAAGUCUUUCACAUUUUCCUAAGAGGAUUUGCGUUGUGUCCGCCUCCCUUUCAAAAAAUGUUGCAUUGGGAGAGAGACAGGGCCAGAGCCCGAAGCACCGCCCCACACCAAGUUGUAAUCUUUCAGAGAAGACAGAAAAAAUGUCUCACCUUGAACAGUUAUCAAUGAUUCCGCCAAUAGAAACUUUGCUGAAAGACGUCCAAUAGCUCUAUCGAACAAAGACAACUAUAUCGACAUGCGCACAAAUGUACAUUGUGAUCAGCAUAACAUUGAGGCUUAUAUUUACCAAACGCUAUUAUCCUGAAUGACUUACAGGAGCAAUUAGGGUUAAGUGCCUUUCUCAAGGGCACAUCUGCUGAUUUUCCCCGAGUCGAUGAUUCAAACCAGCACCCUUUUGGUUACUGGGCCAACACUCCUAACCGCUAGGUUACCUGCCGCCACCUGAUAGUUUGACGCACGAAGCCCACACCCGCCCUCUUUGUGGGAAACAUAUCUCACUGACCUAGAAAUGCAUUGGCCAUGUUCAAAACAAACCCAGGUUCCCCAGGGUGACAAUUCCCUCUUUCACAAGUUGUUCCUGAAAAAAAAUAAAUCAGAUCAAAUCAACGUUUAUUGGUCACGUACACAAUCCAAAAUGUAUUUUCAAUACUGUUGCAAAACUAACUACAUUGAACACAAAUAUAUUGUCACGCCCUGACAUUAGAGCUUUUUAUGUCUCUAUUUUGGUUUAGUCAGGGUGUGAUUUGGGUGGGAAUUCUAUGUUCCUUUUUCUAUGUUUUUGUAUUUCUUUGUUUUGGCCGGGUAUGAUUCUCAAUUAGGGACAGCUGUCUAUCAUUGUCUCUGAUUAGGAACCAUAAUUAGGUAGCUUUUUCCCACAGGACUUUUGUGGGUAGUUAAUUUCUCUUUAGUGUUUUGCACCAUUCAGGACUGUUUCGGUUAUUCCCUUUGUUAUUAGUGUUCAGUUUUAAUAAAGUAAGAAUGAA
Molecule: long non-coding RNA, 2553 nt
Organism: Oncorhynchus gorbuscha (pink salmon)
Lineage: Eukaryota; Metazoa; Chordata; Actinopteri; Salmoniformes; Salmonidae
Exons: 3
Source: RefSeq, a predicted model, not a curated record